This is a long non-coding RNA of Perognathus longimembris pacificus (Pacific pocket mouse), 1503 nucleotides long. RefSeq lists it as uncharacterized. The record is from RefSeq and is a predicted model, not a curated record. Lineage: Eukaryota; Metazoa; Chordata; Mammalia; Rodentia; Heteromyidae. The transcript is spliced from 3 exons.
UAUGUACUAUCAUCAUGCUUUGUCCCAUCAGUAAAAAAUAUGACCAAGACCUCUACCUGAAGAAGAAAUAGUCAAUAAGUAGAGCACAUAAGACAUAAGCAAAUUUGACAGCAGGUGGAAAGCCAAUCAUUGUUGCAAAAAGAAAGAAAGAAAUAGAGCAGGGUAAAUGGGGGUGGGAGGAGGUUCAGGAAGGUGCAGAUCUCGUUUCAAUGAGGCAAAGAAGGCAACAUCUCAGCAAAGACUUGUAGAAAGUGAGAGUUCAGCAGCACAUAACAGAAUUCCAGAUAAAAGGCAUAGGCAGUAUGAAGCUAUUACAUAAGGAAUGAGCCAGGUGGCAAGGUACAAGAAUAGGAGACUCUGCACAGGGUACAAAGGUAAGUUAACAUACUAGGCAAUUUGUCUCCCUUCCCUUUAGACUGGCACAGAGUUGAUUGGGUGAUGGGAUCAUGUUAUAAGUCUUCUUCACAGGAAUUUGGGUUGUCAAGGCCCACUCUAAGGAAGCAUGCCGUUGCCUGUCUAGAGUUAUAUCAUAUUCUAACACCUAGUCAGUGUGAGAAAUCUUUUCCCAAUCCUCUUGUUUAGUAUGAGAGAAACACAAUUUGAAAAAAUCUUUGGGACUGUACCGUUCACCUUUUAAACCAAUUAGGUUGCUUUGCAUGUCGUCUUAAGAGUCACAAACAAAACAAAAAAAAACUGUAUUUAGUAACAUGACUGUGCCAUCAGGCUUUUCACCUUGAUUUUCUAAUCUUGAAAAUUAAUAACUUUUCCAAUGAGCCUGAGCUUCCAGCUAGGAGACACACUGUAGACAUCUCCACAGUCAUUUACAUAGUGCCGGAUUAUAAAUGUCUGAUAUUACACGAAUUAGUGCUGAGCUGCAAGAACAAAGUAAAUAAUUAGCACCAGCACACAUGGUGGAUUCUAUUUCAAAUCUCCUCUUGCUGCCACCCUGAUAUAAGCAAAAGAGACUGGUCAUGUAUCUGCUGAUCACUGCUGCAGUAACACUCACCACAAAUCAAUUUCCACCUGUUCGCAGUUCCAAAAAUAGCACAGUGCCAAGAUUUCUGUGUGCUACAGAAUGUGGUGGGUCUGAGGGAUUGAAUAAAGCACAAUUUUGAAUGCACGGUUUCUUCAGAGAGGAUCCAGAAUGAGCAUCUGCAAUUGCAAUUCUUGGAUAAGUCCCUGACAAGACUUGGACAGUCUCUGGGAUUGUCAUCUGAGAAUUAUACUAUAUUGCACAUAGUAUAAUCCGUGAGUUGGCGUAUGUGUAUGCGUUGUGUGUGUGUGUAUUUGUGCAUCUUUGUUUUUGUUUCUGACUGUGCUCACACAAUGCUAUACUCACUUAGGAAUAGAGAUCACGUUUGGAGGACAGUUCAAACCAGAAAAUAUAGAUCAUCAAAGACCAAACCUUAUAUAUGAGUCAGAUCAUCUUUAAAUGAUUUAUAAUAUUUUAAAUGUGGUUUGAGGCAACUGAACAAGAAAUUUGUCUGUUGCAAAACAUAACUU